RNAcentral lists this ribosomal RNA (1381 nucleotides) under Paragnetina sp. ZS25. RNAcentral describes it as "SSU rRNA". It matches the Rfam family "Eukaryotic small subunit ribosomal RNA", at positions 608 to 1779 of the family's 1831-position model. Lineage: Eukaryota; Metazoa; Arthropoda; Insecta; Plecoptera; Perlidae. The record is from RNAcentral.
AGUUGUUGCGGUUAAAAAGCUCGUAGUUGGACUUGUGUCCCACGCCGUCGGUUCGUCGCCCGUCGACGUAACCGCACGGUUAUGUGAGUGGGACGUCCAGCCGGUGGGUUGUCAGGUCGCGCGCUCAGCUGGCCGCGCCCCUUGGCGGUGUCCAUACCGUGGCCUCGCCGUGACGUGUGUUGGGCGGGUGGUGGCGUUCGCGUCUCCCCCCCUGGCCCGUCAUCAAAAGCGGCGUGUGUUGCGGGGCCCGCCUCGCAGGGUGUCGCUGUGUCGGCGCGUGCGGUGCCGGACCCAUGUUACUCGUCUCGGUGCUCUUAAUCGAGUGUCUUGACGGGCCGGCUCUUUUACUUUGAACAAAUUAGAGUGCUUAAAGCAGGCCAAUUGCCGCCUGAAUAUUGUGUGCAUGGAAUAAUGGAAUAGGAUCUCGGUUCUAUUUUGUUGGUUUUCUGAACCAGAGAUAAUGAUUAAUAGAGACCGACGGGGGCAUUCGUAUUGCGACGUUAGAGGUGAAAUUCUUGGAUCGUCGCAAGACGAACAGAAGCGAAAGCAUUUGCCAAGAACGCUUUCUUUAAUCAAGAACGAAAGUUAGAGGUUCGAAGGCGAUCAGAUACCGCCCUAGUUCUAACCAUAAACGAUGCCAACUAGCGAUCCGCCGGAGUUCCUCCGAUGACCCGGCGGGCAGCUUCCGGGAAACCAAAGUGUUUGGGUUCCGGGGGAAGUAUGGUUGCAAAGCUGAAACUUAAAGGAAUUGACGGAAGGGCACCACCAGGAGUGGAGCCUGCGGCUUAAUUUGACUCAACACGGGAAAACUCACCAGGCCCGGACACUGGAAGGAUUGACAGAUUGAUAGCUCUUUCUUGAUUCAGUGGGUGGUGGUGCAUGGCCGUUCUUAGUUGGUGGAGCGAUUUGUCUGGUUAAUUCCGAUAACGAACGAGACUCUGGCCUGCUAACUAGUCGCACAUUGACGACAUCCGCAUUCGUGCUGUCGGCGACAAAUAUAAACUCUUCUUAGAGGGACAGGCGGCUUCUAGCCGCACGAGAUUGAGCAAUAACAGGUCUGUGAUGCCCUUAGAUGUUCUGGGCCGCACGCGCGCUACACUGAAUGGUUCAACGUGUGUCUUCCCUUGACCGAGAGGUCCGGGUAACCCGCUGAAAUCCAUUCGUGCUAGGGAUCGGGGCUUGCAAUUAUUCCCCGUGAACGAGGAAUUCCCAGUAAGCGCGAGUCAUAAGCUCGCGUUGAUUACGUCCCUGCCCUUUGUACACACCGCCCGUCGCUACUACCGAUUGAAUGAUUUAGUGAGGUCUUCGGACAGUCGCGCGGCGGCGCCCGCGAGGGCCCGUCGAUGUUCGACUGAAAGAUGAUCAAACUGAUAUUUGGAGG